This 69-nucleotide transfer RNA is filed under the name Scotonycteris bergmansi (Bergmans's fruit bat). Its description in RNAcentral is "tRNA-Arg". The record is from RNAcentral. Lineage: Eukaryota; Metazoa; Chordata; Mammalia; Chiroptera; Pteropodidae.
UGAUAAUUAGUUUAACACAAAACAAAUGAUUUCGACUCAUUAGAUUAUGAUAAUACACAUAAUUAUCAA